UUUGCUCAGGGUCCGUGGUUGUGGGAUGUUUGUACAAAGAUCUCCAUGAAUUGCUGCUGACUAAGCAGUCCAUUGGGAAUGAAACUCACAAUUCAAGGUACGUCAACACCAGGAUAAUGACCGCGGCUAUGGAUCCUAAACCGGAAAUUUUACAAGAUCUCAUCUUGAAGUUCAGAAACCUAAAGGUCGUUGAGGAAAAAAAGCAUUGUAUGUUUUGGAGUGGCUUCAGCAAGAGUCCAGACGGGUACUCAGAGGAUGGUUGUCAUGUAGAUAC
Long non-coding RNA from Pocillopora damicornis (cauliflower coral), 274 nucleotides. The record is from RefSeq and is a predicted model, not a curated record. NCBI's taxonomy places the organism in Eukaryota, Metazoa, Cnidaria, Anthozoa, Scleractinia, Pocilloporidae.